GUGUUCGCUUCAGCAGCACAUAUAUUAACAUUGAAAAGACAGAAGAUUAGCAUGGCCCCUGUACAAGUUUGACAUGCAAAUUUAUGAAGCAUUCCAUAAUAAA
Molecule: small nuclear RNA, 103 nt
Organism: Balaenoptera musculus (blue whale)
Lineage: Eukaryota; Metazoa; Chordata; Mammalia; Artiodactyla; Balaenopteridae
Source: Ensembl